AACGCAUAUUGCGCUCUCUGGUAUUCCGGAGAGCAUGCUUGUUUGAGUAUCAGUAAACACCUCAACUCCCUCUUUUCUUUUCUGAAAUGAGGGAGCUGGACUUGAGUGAUCCCAACACUUUUCUUCACUGAAAAGUGGCGGGUCACUUGAAAUGCAGGUGCAGCUGGACUUUUCUCUGAGCUAUAAGCAUAUCUAUUUAGUCUGCCUAAAAAACAGAUUAUUACCUUUGCUGCAGCUAACAUAAAGGAGAUGAGUUCUUGUGCUGACUGAUGCAGGAUUCACAGAGACAGCUUCGCGGCUGACUUUGUAAACUCGAUCUCAAAUCAAGUAAGACUACCCGCUGAACUUAA
This 350-nucleotide unclassified non-coding RNA is filed under the name uncultured fungus. Its description in RNAcentral is "partial contains 5.8S ribosomal RNA, internal transcribed spacer 2, and large subunit ribosomal RNA". The stretch from base 1 to 52 matches the Rfam family "5.8S ribosomal RNA", at positions 103 to 154 of the family's 154-position model. The record is from RNAcentral. Lineage: Eukaryota; Fungi. RNAcentral also lists the same sequence under 1 other name.